AUGAACGCUGGCGGCGUGCCUAAUACCUGCAAGUCGAGCGAACGGACGAGAAGCUUGCUUCUCUGAUGUUAGCGGCGGACGGGUGAGUAACACGUGGAUAACCUACCUAUAAGACUGGGAUAACUUCGGGAAACCGUAGCUAAUACCGGAUAAUAUUUUGAACCGCAUGGUUCAAAAGUGAAAGACGGUCUUGCUGUCACUUAUAGAUGGAUCCGCGCUGCAUUAGCUAGUUGGUAAGGUAACGGCUUACCAAGGCAACGAUGCAUAGCCGACCUGAGAGGGUGAUCUGCCACACUGGAACUGAGACACGGUCCAGACUCCUACGGGAGGCAGCAGUAGGGAAUCUUCCGCAAUGGGCGAAAGCCUGACGGAGCAACGCCGCGUGAGUGAUGAAGGUCUUCGGAUCGUAAAACUCUGUUAUUAGGGAAGAACAUAUGUGUAAGUAACUGUGCACAUCUUGACGGUACCUAAUCAGAAAGCCACGGCUAACUACGUG
Molecule: ribosomal RNA, 496 nt
Filed under: uncultured bacterium
Lineage: Bacteria
Description: partial 16S ribosomal RNA
Rfam family: Bacterial small subunit ribosomal RNA
Source: RNAcentral